GACGAACGCUGGCGGCGUGCUUAACACAUGCAAGUCGAACGGAAAGGCCCUGCUUUUGUGGGGUGCUCGAGUGGCGAACGGGUGGGUAACACGUGAGUAACCUGCCCUUGACUUUGGGAUAACUUCAGGAAACUGGGGCUAAUACCGGAUAGGAGCUCCUGCUGCAUGGUGGGGGUUGGAGAGUUUCGGCGGUUGGGGAUGGACUCGCGGCUUAUCAGCUUGUUGGUGGGGUAGUGGCUUACCAAGGCUUUGACGGGUAGCCGGCCUGAGAGGGUGACCGGCCACAUUGGGACUGAGAUACGGCCCAGACUCCUACGGGAGGCAGCAGUGGGGAAUAUUGCACAAUGGGCGGAAGCCUGAUGCAGCAACGCCGCGUGCGGGAUGACGGCCUUCGGGUUGUAAACCGCUUUCGCCUGUGACGAAGCGUGAGUGACGGUAAUGGGUAAAGAAGCACCGGCUAACUACGUG
RNAcentral lists this ribosomal RNA (468 nucleotides) under uncultured bacterium. RNAcentral's name for it is "partial 16S ribosomal RNA". It matches the Rfam family "Bacterial small subunit ribosomal RNA", at positions 28 to 507 of the family's 1533-position model. The record is from RNAcentral.